GACGAACGCUGGCGGCGUGCUUAACACAUGCAAGUCGAACGCUGAAGCCCAGCUUUCUUGGUGGCUUAGUGGCCAACGGAUGAGUAACUCGUGGGCAACCUACCCCUGACUCUGGGAUAAGCGCUGGAAACGGCGGCUAGUACAUGAUAUGUCCCGUCACCGCAUAGUAGGCGGGUGGUAGAAUUUUUCGGUUGGGGCUGUGCGUGCGGCCUAUCCGCUUGUUGGUGAGGUUAUUGCGCACCAAGGCGACGACGGGUAGCCGGCCUGGGAGGGUGACCGGCCACAAUGGGACUGGGGCACGGCCCAGACGGCUACGGGAGGAAGGAGUGGAGAAUAUUGCAAAAUGGGCGGAAGCCGGAAGCAGCAACGCCGCGUGGGGGAUGACGGCCGUCGGGGUAGAAACCUGGUUUAGCAGGGAAGAAGAGAAAGUGACGGUACCUGCAGAAAAAGCAACGGCUAACUACGUG
RNAcentral lists this ribosomal RNA (467 nucleotides) under uncultured bacterium. RNAcentral describes it as "partial 16S ribosomal RNA". It matches the Rfam family "Bacterial small subunit ribosomal RNA", at positions 28 to 507 of the family's 1533-position model. The record is from RNAcentral.